Molecule: long non-coding RNA, 1527 nt
Organism: Canis lupus familiaris (dog)
Lineage: Eukaryota; Metazoa; Chordata; Mammalia; Carnivora; Canidae
Exons: 3
Source: RefSeq, a predicted model, not a curated record
CAGCGUUUUUCACAUUUCCAUGGGUCUCCUUGGAGACGGUUGCUAUGAUCACUCAGUGUCCCUGGCUAAAAAUCUUCAAAAUGUGGACCGCUGCUUUUAUUCUCUCAUCUCCUCUUUAUUAGUGGUUUUGUCCUCACCCAGAGUUUAUUCCUCUAUGAAUGCAAUCUGCUUGAAGUUUUUUUUUUUUUUUUUUUUUUUAUCCUAGUAUUCCAGAGUAUCCCUGGUUCUUUUGGUUCCCCUAGAAAUGCUUUUAUUUGGAUUAUAACAUUUGGCAGCUCGCUUGGAAUAUCAUUUAUACUUUUAUGCUUCCUGAUUGCCUGGAAGUAAAUUAUUCAGAGGACAGUCCACCCUGCCCACCUCCUCUUUUUUCAAAAAUACUAAUUUGCCCUGGAAGAAACUAAGCAAUGACAAUGAAAACACUCGAUCUGUUGAUUCUUAUUAUGUUGCUUAUUUAACAAGCCUGGCUUGAAAUAUUUGAAGAUUAAUUUUACAACAUAUGUAUCUUUGACCAAAGUUAAUGGAAGUAUACUUUUAUUCGGUUCUGCAUGCAUUAGUCCCAUUUCAAAUACCUCACUUAUUUCCUGAUGGCUAUUUCUUACAAAUAGGUGAGAAGAAAAAGAACUCAAAGAGCCGAAUACACUAUAACAAAACCUAAGUCCUGACUGCUCAGUAAAUGGGGAAAGCUAAAAUGCAGUAUCUGAAAACAAUCUUAGCACUCUCCAAGCAAGGUCAGCUACGUUAUUGAAAUCUAGAAUUCAAAUGUAAAUUACAAGAGGAUCAUUCAAAGGGUUUCCAAAAUCCUAACUAGGUAAAUCUGCAGGAUAGAAAACACUAGAAGAAAAAUAUAUGGUAAAUGGAUCAUAGACAGACGCAGGGCUUCCUGUAGCUACCAUUAUUUUCGAAAAGAGGAACAACUCAGAGACAAAAACUAAAGCUCAAGUCUUCAAAGGAGGGAAUGCCAGUGCAGCAGGGUUACAAUCUCGUGAACCAGUGGCAGCAGGAUACAAAGGCAUUUUAUCAGUACAGUCGGUCAAAGCCGCAAAGAUCGUGGGCUCUGUGUACACUCCCUCCCACCUGCUCUGUGACCUUGGACAUCUACCCUUUCCAGUCUCCUCAGCUCCAAAAGAGGGAGGGUGAUGGUCCUACACCCCCCCCCCCAGGUUUAUCGUACUGCGAGGAUUAAAUUAAUGCAGACACUUCCACAUCUUCACCCUGAAGCUGUCAGGACAAUGGAAGAGUCUUGAACCACAGGUGUGGUCUUUUAAGACCAGGGUAGGCUGGACUCUGCUCUCACCUGCCAAAGAGCUGACCUAUAGGAAAUAAGUUCAAGCACUGUCCCCAGAAGGCAAAAAUUAUAUUGGUUUUACCAUCACCUGCAGAGAGAAUAUAAACGCACAAAAGAAAAUGUUAUGACGUCUAGAACCGUGAUCAACAACCUCCCACCGCAUAUCUGCUUUCGUUAUAUUUUUAACCUCCUAAUUCUGCUUUGUUACCAUGUCUCAUAGAUAUUACUAAAACAUUACUGUA